Molecule: non-coding RNA, 319 nt
Organism: Cavia porcellus (domestic guinea pig)
Lineage: Eukaryota; Metazoa; Chordata; Mammalia; Rodentia; Caviidae
Source: Rfam
AGAUGUGAGGGCAUCAGGCUGUGACAUCUGUCACCCCAUUGAUGGGGUGAUUGGCUGAUGUGGCUGCUAGUGAAGUGUGACUUUCCUGCCUUACCACUUAAUAUGUCCCUCCUGAAGCUGCACGCUCUAAGGAAGAGGAGGACCACCCUGAAUAGAGGGGGGCUGUUACUGCUAUCAGGGGUGUAGGAGUGGCUGCGCUACCCUGUUAGAAGCUCCCAACAAGCUCUUGAGGUCCAUAUACAUGCAUAUAUUUAGAAACAGAGAAGCAAAAUAAAAACAGAAUUAAAGAUUGAAAAAUUUGAUGCAGCAAGUUUUAAAU